Long non-coding RNA from Daphnia pulex (common water flea), 2566 nucleotides. RefSeq lists it as uncharacterized. Lineage: Eukaryota; Metazoa; Arthropoda; Branchiopoda; Diplostraca; Daphniidae. The record is from RefSeq and is a predicted model, not a curated record. The transcript is spliced from 3 exons.
CUCAACUUUACUUGGGGCACCUUAAUCGGAGGCAGCCGCAUAGGAACUGUAGCCGCAAAACUAAUCGACGGCUAUGAUGGCUCAUGUUAUGUGAUAAUGAAAUUCCGUCGGUAAGUUAGAGCUAUGAAAACGGUUCCCAUGUAUACAGCAGGUAUUAAAUAGCUAACAAGAAGAUUCGUCUAAUAUUACACGUAUGCAUGUAUUAACCACCUGUUGUUCGAUUGACAACAACUCAAGGCUUUUCCCGCAGCGGCAGCAUCACCUGUCAGCUUCGCCCGUUGAUCAUUUUCUUCCGUUUGAUGGCACCCGAAUAAUAUCACAGUUAACAAUAACACGCUUGAAAGCGCAACCGUUACACGUUACUCGUUUCAAAAAUCAGGAAUUCGAGUAGCGUGUUUUGAUUGAAACUCUUUGGAACCUAUUUUGCAUAUGUUGCGCAUCUUUUACAAGGUCGCGUUAAGUCAGGCUAACGGCUUUCGGCAGACCUUUUACGGGGACAGAUUGCGAAUGGCAGAGGACUGGGCGUGCAUCCCAUGAUGAAAAAGCUGCUGGUAUCGACCGUCGUCGAACUUGACCUUCCUGUCAAUUCCGUUUGAUGAAAUCAUUUUUAAUUUCUUUAAUUAUAUCAAAGGUGGCGAGUCUUACGCGUAACAGUAAUUGUGGUGGUCAAAGUAACAGUCGAUGGCCGGAUGGCGUCAAAAAUCGAAUUGGCGAAAGCGGCCAGCUGGGCAAAGUAAAUUCGUGGCUGCGGAUCGUCAUCGUUCAUCCUCGCCUGACGGCCCAUUUGCCUCUGUAAAUCAUUCAACUUGUGAUUGAUCGAUGACUCGAUAACGUCCAUCGUUUCGGGCGAAUUGGAAUUCGGGCGACGAUGCAAACUGUCCGGAUGCUCUUCAAUGCCAUCCGGCAACACCACCAAAGGUGUUACCUCCACACUACACGGCAGCGUUCUAGUAGCCACAAACUGUCCUGGAUGGAGUACCCGUUGAAACGCAUCGUCAAUGGACUCAUCCAGUUGGUCGUCGAACGAAAGGAUGACGGGCUCGUCAAUCAAAAGUCCACGACGACGCCGGCACAAGCCCGUCACAUUUACCAAUUUAGCGCAAACAAACUGGACCGUAACGUUCCUAAUUCAUUAAAAGUGGCAACAUUGUCAUUGGUUUGUUGUUCGACUUACCUUGCUGGUGACAGUGACGGUUGACGUCAGCGUCGAUGUGGAUGUCAACGUAGUUGUCCUUUGAGCAUCUGCUAAUGAAGCUACCAAAGUGAACAGAAUAGUGUACUUCAUCAUUUUGUGGUUAGACUAGAAGACUUUGUGUUUCUCCAACAUUUCCAAGUGUCAAAGGCUCCUCUUCCGUCCCACUGCUGGUAUCGAAAGGUCAGUUGCGACUGCGGUGUCUUACCGAUCCGUUCUAGCCAAGCAAAUGUCAUGUAAGGUCUCGCAACAAUCUUCCUUAUGUAACUUAUUCUUUUUUUUUGUAUCUGUCGAUUCUCCUCCCUCCCAAUAUCAACCCAUCUCUUUGAAUGGCCAUGUUGUCUUUAUUGACGGUCUGUACUGCCUUGCGUUAAAAACGGCACAGCACGCAAUCACUGAUAAAUCAGUUUGGAAUUAUGCGCAUUCCAUACGUUCGGAUUCCCGCUUCUGCUCCGGCAUACCUCGACGAAUCCAGACGAAAAGAGUUACUUUUUUGAACUGCCAAUUUUCUCUCCUCGCUCCAAUAUCGUCAAUAUUCAACAGUCAGCCGUUUAGCGGCUUUUGGUGUUGCAAAUCUUGACUGGUGUUUGAUCGUUUAUGACUUAAUACGGCGUUGGCCAAUUCCCUCACCCCUAUUUAAAAAAAUUGGAAGUUCGAUUCCGUUCAACCACCGACGGUAACUUACAGCUGAACUUUGGAGAAUUUCAGAAAUUUGCGUCACAAUUUGGCUAUAGUAAAUUCAUAGACAUUCAAAUAUGGAACUUUGGAUCGACGCAAUUCAGCAGUUCGCUUAACGGGGAACAUUUGCUCAGUGUCAGUAAAACAGAAAUGCCAUAAAUCAUCCCAAGACAAUCCCGGACAUUGAACGCGUAGCCGCGAUCACGGGCUGAUUUAUCGCGGAAUCUAUAUGCCCCACUCGCUGUACGUAUGUACCAUGACUUUGCUGGUUACAUAUCUGAUAGGCAAUCUUAUAUAGCUUGAGUGAAUAAUUUUAGUCAAAUGAUUUCUUACCUGUGCGGAAAACAAACGGAAUCUAUGGUGCUAUCCAUUUCGGUCGUUCCAAACACAUGAGCGGUCAUCGUGUACGUACUCUAUUGGAAGAUGAAUAAUUGAUGAACAACUCCAGGAGGAGAGAAAACAUUUUUGGAAAUUUUGCCUGAAAGAAAAGCGCUGACGAUUUAUUGUUGCUUUUCAUUUCGUUGACUUUAUCUACAAAGACGUCGUGUAUAGGUAUAUCUCGGGUUAUCUCAAUCCCAAUAUACUCUCCGGCUAACAAGUGUCUAGCAGUUCCACUCACGUUUGUACAUCUGUAGGCGAAAUUUCUUGGUUCCCACAGCAUUAUUGAUUUUGUGUAUCUCACCAUGGAGAGCAAGG